Molecule: ribosomal RNA, 249 nt
Filed under: uncultured bacterium
Lineage: Bacteria
Description: partial 16S ribosomal RNA
Rfam family: Bacterial small subunit ribosomal RNA
Source: RNAcentral
UACGGAGGGAGCUAGCGUUGUUCGGAAUUACUGGGCGUAAAGCGCACGUAGGCGGCUUUGUAAGUUAGAGGUGAAAGCCUGGAGCUACAACUCCAGAAUUGCCUUUAAGACUGCAUCGCUUGAAUCCAGGAGAGGUGAGUGGAAUUCCGAGUGUAGAGGUGAAAUUCGUAGAUAUUCGGAAGAACACCAGUGGCGAAGGCGGCUCACUGGACUGGUAUUGACGCUGAGGUGCGAAAGCGUGGGGAGCAA